AGAUUGAACGCUGGCGGCGUGCCUAACACAUGCAAGUCGAGCGGUAACAGGUGUAGCAAUACAUGCUGACGAGCGGCGAACGGGUGAGUAAUGCUUCGGAAUCUGCCCAUGAAGUGGGGAAUAACCAGCCGAAAGGUUGGCUAAUACCGCAUACGACCUACGGGUGAAAGCAGGGGAUCGCAAGACCUUGCGCUAUUGGAUGAGCCGAAGUCGGAUUAGCUAGUUGGUAGGGUAACGGCCUACCAAGGCGACGAUCCGUAGCUGGUCUGAGAGGACGACCAGCCACACUGGGACUGAGACACGGCCCAGACUCCUACGGGAGGCAGCAGUGGGGAAUAGUU
This 341-nucleotide ribosomal RNA is filed under the name uncultured soil bacterium. RNAcentral's name for it is "bacterial SSU rRNA". It matches the Rfam family "Bacterial small subunit ribosomal RNA", at positions 26 to 366 of the family's 1533-position model. The record is from RNAcentral.